RNAcentral lists this ribosomal RNA (255 nucleotides) under uncultured bacterium. RNAcentral describes it as "partial 16S ribosomal RNA". It matches the Rfam family "Bacterial small subunit ribosomal RNA", at positions 524 to 776 of the family's 1533-position model. The record is from RNAcentral.
UACGUAGGGGGCAAGCGUUGUCCGGAUUUAUUGGGCGUAAAGCGCUCGCAGGUGGUUCGUCGCGUCGUGCGUGAAAGACCCCGGCUCAACUGGGGGAGGUCGUGCGAUACGGGCGAACUGGAGGCCAGUAGGGGGAUGCGGAAUUCCGGGUGUAGUGGUGGAAUGCGUAGAGAUCCGGAAGAACACCGGUGGCGAAGGCGGCCUGCUGGGCAGUUUAGCUGACACUGAGGCGCGACAGCGUGGGGAGCAAACAGG